CUACAGAAUACUAACCGGUCGACGAGGUGAGGGUGGAGACUAGGGGUUCGGGGAGUGCGUGCAGAGGAGAGCGUGGUGUGCGCGUGCGUUGGCGGAGGAGGUGAGGAGCAAAGAGGGCGACUCGCCGCGGCUUAAACCCCACGGUAGCCCUUCUGUUGUCGCUCGCACUCUCCGUCGCUGGUCUAGCCUCAGGCCGUGUCUUCUCUCGAUCGCGCGGGCACGGCAGGCCGCUCCUCCCCCUCGUGGACGCGGGACACCUCAAGUAGGGGCCGCGGGCGUAGGAACAGCAGCUGGAACGGGCGUGCCGUCCAGCGGUGACGACCGGCUCCGGUGGGUCCAGCUGUGGUGGGGCAGGCCGGACGUCGUGUAGGAAGAGCUCCUGUACCCUCCUCCCUGUUUGUAACAGACCCUCCGUCCGUUCCUCCCUCCGGUUAGAAUCAAGUAGAUUAACAAACUAGCCAGAGGACUACCUGCGGUACCUCCAACUACAAUUCACUCGUCCGUCAAACAGUAACAAGCACUUAGCAGACAAAUCAGAAGGAGGAACGAAACAGGCACGAGUCGAAAUAUUAUUCAUGUGAUACCAUACUGAAGGAUACUCUUGAAAUCCAUUAGACACGUUGGCCGCCCGAUUGGGUAUACUAUCCUAACGAACCCCACUGUAUCUCCAAUUAAUUUAAUUAGAAAUCAAGAAGAGAACAGUAUAAAAGUAGUCAGUUGGAGAUUCCGAAAUCCAAGUUCUUUUUACUUACAUUUUGCUGUUCCUUCCAGGACUAGUCUACACAACCGACGACGCCGAUCACCACGAAACCCGUGCGUUCCCCUCGUGCUCACGUGCUGAGUGUUGGAGACGGACGAGUUCUACACGGUGUCGGUGCGGCCGGAGCCGCCGUCCGCGUUGCUGACCAGCGUGAUACAGCUUGAUCUUAAGGGACGUGCCUGCACUAGGUCAAAUAGUAGACGUAACACGGGAGGCAGGACCUGUGAGAGGGACCGUAGAUGCUGUUGUCAGUCAUGAAGAAGCUACAGCGCUCUCCCUACACCUGACGUGCUACCGCUCGUUUUGUUCUUGCUGGACCUUUUGGAGCUGCUACCCACCUACUCGUCGACGAGACAUCACCGUUUAGGAGCACCGACGUUAUGUUACUGUACCUCUCCACGAUCUAUGUCAGGAUUCUAACGAACAAAUAAACGGCUUAAACUAUGUGAAAACUUCUUCGGUCACAUACACAUCACGUAGAACAUUCGUCCAUCUAUCGAGUGACGAUGGGGGGAAACAAAUAUGAAAGUGGAGAUUCCGAAACCGACGGUAAGUAAUUUUUUUAGGAUUCGACAUGUACGUAUACACGAUGGUUAAUCUCGGUGUUGGUCGACUUUUCCGCGAGCAGUUGGACCGUGGCGUGGUCGACGGUGGGUCCGCCGCGCGAUACCCGCGCGGGGUUGUCGAUCAAUCUUAUCAUGAUCAUCGAUAGGUGCAAUCUAGUCCAAUGUGGUGGAGCAAAGAAGGAAGUCUGAUUUCUGGAAUAUACGACGAAAACGGUAAUUAAGUUCCUCUUC
This 1557-nucleotide ribosomal RNA is filed under the name Triticum aestivum (bread wheat). Its description in RNAcentral is "partial small subunit ribosomal RNA". The record is from RNAcentral. Lineage: Eukaryota; Viridiplantae; Streptophyta; Magnoliopsida; Poales; Poaceae.